RNAcentral lists this ribosomal RNA (168 nucleotides) under uncultured bacterium. RNAcentral's name for it is "partial 16S ribosomal RNA". It matches the Rfam family "Bacterial small subunit ribosomal RNA", at positions 1335 to 1500 of the family's 1533-position model. The record is from RNAcentral.
CUAGUAAUGGCAGGUCAGCAUACUGCCGUGAAUACGUUCCCGGGCCUUGUACACACCGCCCGUCACACCAUGAGAGUUGGGGAUACCCGAAGCCUGUGAGCCAACAGUUAAAUGGGGCAGCAGUCGAAGGUAGAAUCAAUGAUUGGGGUGAAGUCGUAACAAGGUACC